Molecule: long non-coding RNA, 207 nt
Filed under: Nicotiana benthamiana
Lineage: Eukaryota; Viridiplantae; Streptophyta; Magnoliopsida; Solanales; Solanaceae
Description: long non-coding RNA (NBEN_LNC012197)
Source: RNAcentral
CCCAUUAGAAACUGAAAUACCUUAUUUUCAUCAUUUUCAUGUAUUAUACCAUCUUUGGUAGCACAAACACAUCUUUGCCCAUGAUUGGCACACACUGAUUCUAAUUCAUCCCACAGACCUUUGAGUUUAUUAAAAUAUGAAGCUACAUCUAGGGACCCUUGAGAGGUGUGAGAAAGCUCUCUUUUCAAUUCAAAAUUUUUGGUCCUG